UCGUUAUUUGUUUACUUUUGUUUUUGGGUAUAGUUUUUUGUAUUAAAAUUAAUUAUAUAAUUUAUUGUUUUAGUAUUUUAUCAAGGAAAAAUUUUGUUAGUAAUAGUUUAGUAGUAUUGUAGAAGAAUAUUGAAAUAGUGUGAAAAAUUUAUGUUUAAAAAGAAGAUUUAGUUUGUUGUACCUUGUGUAUCAGGGUUUAUCUAAUAUGAUGUAUUUAUAUAUCUUUCUCGAUUUCAUAAGAGUUAAUCAGUUAAUAUAGUUAAUGUGGAAUAAUUAUUAAAAAUACUUGAUUGGAAAUGAUAAGUUAAUCGUUUAUGGAGGUAUCUAGUUUUUUAAGAAAUGAAUUUAAUUCAGGAUUUUAAAUAGAAGAGUUUAAUUUUUAAUUUUUUUUUAUUUUAUAAUUCUACUAUACUAAGGGAUAAGCUUUAGUAUAUAUUUCUAAAAGAUUGAAUAUCUUGGUUUUAAUUGUAUGCUUAGAAAUAGCAUUUGAUUGUGAUUUUGUUAUAAUUUAUUUUUUUAGUAAAAUAUUUAUUUUUCUUUAGUUUUUGUAUUAAAAUAUUUACUUUAAUUUUUUUUGUUAAGUAAUAAUGAUGGAAUUAGUAUAAUUUAUUGUCUGUGGAUUAUUUUUUUUUAGAUUAGUGUAAAUAAUUCGGCAAAUUUAGUGUUCGCCUGUUUAUCAAAAACAUGUCUUAUAGGGAUCUAUUUUAAGUCUGACCUGCCCGUUGAUUUAUUGAAAGGCCGCAGAAUCUUGACUGUGCAAAGGUAGCAUAAUCACUAGUUUUUUAAUUGGAAGCUUGAAUGAAUGGUUGGACGAGACACUGACUGUUUCACAUUAAGUAUUAGAAUUUUAUUUUUUGGUAAAAAAGCCUAAAUUUUUUUAAAAGACGAGAAGACCCUAUAGAUCUUUAUAGUUAUUAUAUAUUUAUUUUUAAGAUUUUUAUUUAUUUAUAUGUAUUAUACUAUUUUGCUGGGGUGGCAGAUGAAUUUGUUUAACUUUUUUUAUUUUAUAAACAUUUAUUUAUGAUGAUACUGAUCCUUUUUAAGAUUAAAAAUUUAAGUUACCUUAGGGAUAACAGCGUAAUCCUUUUGGAGAGUUCAUAUCGAUGAAAGGGAUUGCGACCUCGAUGUUGGAUUAAGAUUUUUACUAGGCGCAGCAGCUUGGUGGUUAAGUCUGUUCGACUUUUAAUUUCUUACAUGAUCUGAGUUCAAACCGGCGUGAGCCAGGUUGGUUUCUAUCUUUAAAGAGUUAGUGUAUCUUAGUACGAAAGGGCCAGAUACACGAAAAAUUAUUUUUUUUUAAUAUGAAUAUUAAUAAUUU
Molecule: ribosomal RNA, 1318 nt
Filed under: Asilus crabroniformis
Lineage: Eukaryota; Metazoa; Arthropoda; Insecta; Diptera; Asilidae
Description: partial 16S ribosomal RNA
Rfam family: Archaeal large subunit ribosomal RNA (bases 623-1318)
Source: RNAcentral